This 806-nucleotide ribosomal RNA is filed under the name uncultured bacterium. RNAcentral describes it as "bacterial SSU rRNA". It matches the Rfam family "Bacterial small subunit ribosomal RNA", at positions 8 to 796 of the family's 1533-position model. The record is from RNAcentral.
AGAGUUUGAUCCUGGCUCAGGAUGAACGCUGGCGGCGUGCCUAAUACAUGCAAGUCGAGCGAACGGACGAGAAGCUUGCUUCUCUGAUGUUAGCGGCGGACGGGUGAGUAACACGUGGGUAACCUACCUAUAAGACUGGGAUAACUUCGGGAAACCGGAGCUAAUACCGGAUAAUAUUUUGAACCGCAUGGUACAAAAGUGAAAGGCGGUCUUGCUGUCACUUAUAGAUGGAUCCGCGCUGCAUUAGCUAGUUGGUAAGGUAACGGCUUACCAAGGCAACGAUGCAUAGCCGACCUGAGAGGGUGAUCGGCCACACUGGAACUGAGACACGGUCCAGACUCCUACGGGAGGCAGCAGUAGGGAAUCCUCCGCAAUGGGCGAAAGCCUGACGGAGCAACGCCGCGUGAGUGAUGAAGGUCUUCGGAUCGUAAAACUCUGUUAUUAGGGAAGAACAUAUGUGUAAGUAACUGUGCACAUCUUGACGGUACCUAACCAGAAAGCCACGGCUAACUACGUGCCAGCAGCCGCGGUAAUACGUAGGUGGCAAGCGUUAUCCGGAAUUAUUGGGCGUAAAGCGCGCGUAGGCGGUUUUUUAAGUCUGAUGUGAAAGCCCACGGCUCAACCGUGGAGGGUCAUUGGAAACUGGAAAACUUGAGUGCAGAAGAGGAAAGUGGAAUUCCAUGUGUAGCGGUGAAAUGCGCAGAGAUAUGGAGGAACACCAGUGGCGAAGGCGACUUUCUGGUCUGUAACUGGCGCUGAUGUGCGAAAGCGUGGGGAUCAAACAGGAUUAGAUACCCUGGUAGUCC